UUUUGAGAGAAGGUGGACAAUGAAUUUCAUUUAUUGUUAUUGCUGUCAUAACGAUGAGCACUUCACAACAGCUGUCACCACCAGAUGCAGCAGCAAUUGCAUGGAAUCAUAACUUAAAAAAUUAACAACCAGAUUUCUGAAGUUAGAGUUCUUAGUUUCAAAUCUUGUCUGCAUCAAAAUUGCUCUGUGACUUUGGGAAAGUUUAACCACUGAUUUCUACCUUGAAGAAAAAAAUGAGUAUAAUAAUAUCUAUCUCGUAAAAUGGUGGUGAAGAUCACAUGGGAUAAUGCAAAUGAAGUUUGUAUCUUAUUGCCUGAUACAUAAAGUAUAUUCAAUAAAUAUUUGCCAUUAUGAUUACCAUUAUAAUUAUACAAUUUAGAAAACUCACAACAAAUCCCACUGCUGAAUAACUGAAACAGUCAUUAUUUCAUGUAAAAAUUAUUGCCCACGGAAGGUCCUAUCUUCUUCAUUGUCCAAAGAAUAUAUUACAUUAAAUAUGGCUUUCAUUGUAAUUAUUAAAAAUAGUUUAUAUUUAUUCAUAUCUAGGUUUUCAUCAAAGUUAUGCAUACUACUGAAUACUACACUGAAAGAACCACUAAGUACUACAAGACUUAUUACAUAGAACAGGAGUCAUCUAUCCACUUUUCCUCCUAAUUUCACAAUCUCUAGAGGGAACAGUUUUCAACUACACACAGUCCUCACAUAGUGUGACAGUGCCUGACCAUAAGAGUGACUGUGAAAUGGGACAUUGUAUAAGCUAUCUUAAUAACCAAUAGAAAAUGAUGAUGGUUCUGUGACCUUUAAAAAUGUUUGUCAAAACAUUAAAGACUUUUAUCAUCAGUGAUAAAUAUAUAAGAAAAUUAGAAAAGAAAAAUAGUGAAGCUAAUAUUUUAUUACAUAUUGUGAUUUAACAUUUAUUUCUUCGUAAAAACUCAAGAGUAGUUGGACAGAUGAUAAGGAGUGAGCAUUUUCUAUGCCUUUAUAAAUUGUCAUAAUCCUUUCUCAAACUGGGUGAGCUUCAAAUAUUUCACCUUUUGCAUUUUCAAUAUCAUGAACUAUCUCAAAAGGAUCCAUCAAUGUAAAGUUUUUAUUGGCAUCACUUCCUUUGGGAGUCUUCAUCCUUUUGUCAUAAGUGCUUUUCUCAUAUAUGUCAAUAAAAUUCUCCACUAAAUUUUUCUGGCUGCAUAUCUAGUGUAUUAUUCUGUUCUCUUGCUGCUAAUAAAGUCAUACUGGAGACUGGGUAAUUUAUAAAGGAAAGAGGUUUCACUGGCCCACAGUUCAGCAUAGAUGGGAAGCCCUCAGGAAACUUAUAAUCAAGGCAGAAGGGGAAGCAAACAAAUCCUUCUUCACAUGGUGGUAGGAGAGAGAAGUGCCAAGCAAAGGCGGAAAAGCCCCUUAUAAAACCAUCAGAUCUCAUGAGAACUCAUUCACUAUCAUGAGAUCAGCAGCAUGAGGGUAACCACCCCAUAAUUCAAUUACCUCCCACUGAGUCCCUCCCAUGACACGUGGGGAUUAUGGGAACUAUAUUCAAGAUGAGAUUUGGGUGGGGACACAGCCAAACCAUAUCAUUCUGCCCCUGCUCCCUCCCAAAUCUCAUGUCCUCACAUUUCAAAACACAAUCAUGCCUUUCCAACAGUCCCC
Molecule: long non-coding RNA, 1641 nt
Filed under: Homo sapiens (human)
Lineage: Eukaryota; Metazoa; Chordata; Mammalia; Primates; Hominidae
Description: HSALNT0366990
Source: RNAcentral